This is a long non-coding RNA of Neoarius graeffei (lesser salmon catfish), 182 nucleotides long. RefSeq lists it as uncharacterized. NCBI's taxonomy places the organism in Eukaryota, Metazoa, Chordata, Actinopteri, Siluriformes, Ariidae. The transcript is spliced from 3 exons. The record is from RefSeq and is a predicted model, not a curated record.
GCAGUGAAGUGAUUUAUACACAGGACAUGAAGGAAAAGAAGGCAAACAGGAACAGUGGUGCGGAUGCUGAUGUGACUUAUGCUGAGAUUGAAUUUAGUCCAAUGAAAAAAGAAAGGAGAAUGAAAGAAAAAGCCAGUGCAGGUGAUGACACUGUGUACUCAGAUCUGAAGCACAACAUGGAG